UUGGUGAACCAGCGGAGGGAUCAUUACCGAGUUUACAACUCCCAAACCCAAUGUGAACCAUACCAAACUGUUGCCUCGGCGGGGUCACGCCCCGGGUGCGUCGCAGCCCCGGAACCAGGCGCCCGCCGGAGGGACCAACCAAACUCUUUACUGUAGUCCCCUCGCGGACGUUAUUUCUUACAGCUCUGAGCAAAAAAUUCAAAAUGAAUCAAAACUUUCAACAACGGAUCUCUUGGUUCUGGCAUCGAUGAAGAACGCAGCGAAAUGCGAUAAGUAAUGUGAAUUGCAGAAUUCAGUGAAUCAUCGAAUCUUUGAACGCACAUUGCGCCCGCCAGUAUUCUGGCGGGCAUGCCUGUCCGAGCGUCAUUUCAACCCUCGAACCCCUCCGGGGGGUCGGCGUUGGGGAUCGGGAACCCCUCAGACGGGAUCCCGGCCCCGAAAUACAGUGGCGGUCUCGCCGCAGCCUCUCCUGCGCAGUAGUUUGCACAACUCGCACCGGGAGCGCGGCGCGUCCACGUCCGUAAAACACCCAACUUUCUGAAAUGUUGACCUCGGAUCAGGUAGGAAUACCCGCUGAACUUAAGCAUAUCAAUA
RNAcentral lists this ribosomal RNA (594 nucleotides) under Trichoderma erinaceum. RNAcentral describes it as "eukaryotic LSU rRNA". The stretch from base 213 to 366 matches the Rfam family "5.8S ribosomal RNA". The record is from RNAcentral. Lineage: Eukaryota; Fungi; Ascomycota; Sordariomycetes; Hypocreales; Hypocreaceae.